Molecule: non-coding RNA, 906 nt
Filed under: Proscelotes eggeli
Lineage: Eukaryota; Metazoa; Chordata; Lepidosauria; Squamata; Scincidae
Description: partial 12S ribosomal RNA
Rfam family: Bacterial small subunit ribosomal RNA
Source: RNAcentral
GGUCCUAAACUUGCCGUUGUUUUCAAUCAAGAUUAUACAUGCAAGCCUCUACACGCCAGUGAGAAUGCCCACAAACCCUUAAAACAGGGCACCGGAGCGGGUAUCAGGUCCAACCCCGUUCGCCUAAGACACCUUGCCACGCCACCCCCACACGGGUUUUCAGCAGUAAUUAACAUUAAUACAUGAACGAAAGUUCGACUUGGCUAUGAUAAAUGAAAGUCGGUAAAUUCCGUGCCAGCCACCGCGGUUAUACGAAAGACUUAAAACAACCGCCCUCGGCGUAAAGAGUGGCCAGAAAAGCCUCCCCCACUUAAAGAUAAACUACCACAAAGCCGUAAAACGCUACUACGAGUAUGAAUUAAGCAGCCUUUAAACCAAGGACUUUCCACGACCCCACGAAAGCCAAGAAACAACUGGGAUUAGAUACCCCACUAUGCUUGACCCUUAACACAGACAAUACCAACACAAUAUUGUUCGCCAGAGAACUACAAGCGGAAAGCUCGAAACUCUAAGGACUUGGCGGUGCUCCAUACCGACCUAGAGGAGCCUGUCCUAUAAUCGAUACCCCACGAUUUACCCCACCAUUCUUUGCCCUUCAGCCUAUAUACCGCCGUCGUCAGCUUACCUUAUAAAAGAACAGCAGUGAGCACAAUAGUAAACAACAAAUACGUCAGGUCAAGGUGUAGCACAUGGAGUGGAAGAGAUGGGCUACAUUUUCUACCACAGGACACACGAAUGGUAUAAUGAAACAUAUACCUAAAGGCGGAUUUAGCAGUAAGAUAGACAAGUAAUGCCACCUAAAACCCGCUCUGGAGCGCGCACACACCGCCCGUCACCCUCCUCACAACACACAACAAAACCAUAUAAAUAUAAACAUCCCCAAUAGAUGAGGCAAGUCGUAACAAG